GACGAACGCUGGCGGCGUGCUUAACACAUGCAAGUCGAACGGAAAGGCCCUGCUUGCGGGGUACUCGAGUGGCGAACGGGUGAGUAACACGUGGGUGAUCUGCCCUGCACUUCGGGAUAAGCCUGGUAAACUGGGUCUAAUACCGGAUAGGAGCCAUUUUUAGUGUGAUGGUUGGAAAGUUUUUUCGGUGUAGGAUGAGCUGGCGGCCUAUCAGCUUGUUGGUGGGGUAAUGGCCUACCGAGGCGGCGACGGGUAGCCGGCCUGAGAGGGUGGACGGCCACAUAGGGACUGAGAUACGGCCCAGACUGCUACGGGAGGCAGCAGUGGGGAAUAUUGCACAAGGGGCGCAAGCCUGAUGCAGCGAGGCCGCGUGGGGGAUGACGGCCUUCGGGUUGUAAACUCCAUUCGCUAGGGACGAAGCUUUUUGUGACGGUACCUAGAUAAGAAGCACCGGCUAACUACGUG
This 465-nucleotide ribosomal RNA is filed under the name uncultured bacterium. RNAcentral describes it as "partial 16S ribosomal RNA". It matches the Rfam family "Bacterial small subunit ribosomal RNA", at positions 28 to 507 of the family's 1533-position model. The record is from RNAcentral.